AUACGGAGGGGGUUAGCGUUGUUCGGAAUUACUGGGCGUAAAGCGCACGUAGGCGGAUUGGAAAGUUGGGGGUGAAAUCCCAGGGCUCAACCCUGGAACUGCCUCCAAAACUAACAGUCUAGAGUUCGAGAGAGGUGAGUGGAAUUCCAAGUGUAGAGGUGAAAUUCGUAGAUAUUUGGAGGAACACCAGUGGCGAAGGCGGCUCACUGGCUCGAUACUGACGCUGAGGUGCGAAAGCGAGGGGAGCAUACAGGAUUAGAAACCCGGGUAGUCC
Molecule: ribosomal RNA, 274 nt
Filed under: uncultured bacterium
Lineage: Bacteria
Description: partial 16S ribosomal RNA
Rfam family: Bacterial small subunit ribosomal RNA
Source: RNAcentral